AAACACGCAAUAGAAGGUAAUCAAAUAUAAAAAAAAAAUAGAGAAAGAUGAUUUUUUGCUUUCGAUUUCUAUACUCUUUUUCUUUUACUUCUUUCUUUUUACUGGCAUUUACUCAAAUCCUUCAUCAUUGCAUUUAGAAAAAUAAAAGAAAAGGGAUAAGAUAAACUUUACCUUGCAAAUAUGCCGUAGAUCUCUUUUGGCUUCGUCGAAAUCGAACUCAAAAUGAAAUUUCGAGGCUAAAAAAUGUCCCUCAAGGCAUGAAGGUACUGAUCGCCAUUUAGGGAGGUGAAUCGGUGCUUAAAAGGAGGGCUAGAGUUCAGCUGAAGAGAAUGAAAUGGGGAAGCUAGAGUUGUUUUCAUGGUUCGGCUGAAUGAAGGCCUCAUUUGGCUUCUAUAAAGAAGCAAAAACGGUGCCAUUUAAACCAUCUUCAAUGGUUUAAAAAGACGUCGUCUGGAGCCAGCCCGACUUGAUCCGGUCCGUCGCCCCUGGAACCUGUGCGUUUUUACGGUGAGGGGAUAUUUACACGAUAGGUCCUCCCCUUUCGCGUGUGCAUUCAAUCGCACCUUAUCUGUUUUGCUUUUUUUUCUUAAAUUAGUUCUUUAAUUUGUACGCAUUUUCAUUUUAGUCCGAUGUACAGCGCAGCGUUUUGGUCUAGGGGAUAUUUCUAUUUCUAGCCCCCAUAUAUUUGCGCGGAUUACUUAUUGAUCCAAUUUUUGAUUAUUUUAUUUAUAAAUUAUUCCUCUUAUUUUAAUUCAGUUUUAAUUUAGUUUUCUAUUUGUAUAACUUACCAUUUUAACAUAUUUAAUAUUUCUAUGCUGAUCUGUUUUAAUCAUUUUGUUUGGUUCUAUUUGUACAAUUGUUUUUGAAGAUUAUUUUAACAUUUUUGUACAAUAUUCCUUUAGAUAAUCUAUAUAUAUUUGUACAUGUAGUAUUUUAAUUGAGUUUUUGACUCGUAAUGCUUACUAUUUUAAAGUUCCUAACAUUUUUAUAUAUGUGUAUAUGCGUUGAGUUCUCUUAAAAACUUUAUCUUGUUUAUAAAAUCAUCGUUUUAAAAUUCUUUUUACAUAUGUGUAUAUGCGUUGAGUUCUCUUAAAGUUACUAUUUUAACGCUUUUAUAUAACAUUUUGUUUAAAUAUUUAUAUAUAUUGGUACAUCUAUUUGAUCUAUAUACAUUACUAAAUCCAUGUAUUUUAUAACUAUAGUUUUCUUUGUACAUAAGAGUAUGUUUUUAAGUCUAUUAUAUAUAUAAUUUAUAAUAAAAUUAAUAUAAUUCUAUGUACAUAUUAUGUCCCAUGCUAAUUUAUUUUAUAAGUUCUUUUAAAUUUAUCCGUAUAUAUUUUUAUGUAUAUGAGUCAUUUUUUUGAACAUAUUUUAUUACAUAUUGUUUUGAUUUAAAGUCUUACAUUUAAAUACUAUUUAUAUAUAUACACAUUUGUCAACAUACACAUUUGUCAGCUUUAAAUGGAUACAUCAUCUUUAAAAUAUUUAUGUCCAUUAUUUGACUCAAAUUUCCUCUUUUAUAAUAUAUAUUUCACUAAUAAGCUAUGUAUAUACUUAGUUUUUAUAUAUAUAAAUUAUUUCUAAUUUUGCAUGUGUUAUUCACUUAUGAUUUUUUAUAUAUAUAGUUUUAUAUCGAUUCGCCUCAUAGUAGCUCUUAAUUUCUAUAUUGUUUUGUAUUUUGAUUUUUUUUAUUAUUAUGUCAAUUAUUCUCCAUACAUGCUUGAACAUUGAGUUAUAUUUUUUAGAUUAAUUAUAUUUAAUUGUUUUGUUAGUUGAUUAAAUAAGUUAUAUUAUCUUCAUUCAUCCAUUGUCGUAUUUUAUGCAUACAUGUUAUCCUAUGUCUCCAUUUUUUUCCUCUUGGUUUACAAAUGUUGCUUUAUAACUUCCAACUCUUUAAAACUAUGUAUCCCGCUUUAUUUCAAGUCGAAUUAAUGCGUUUUAAGCUAGUUUUAUAACUAUUCAUUCAAAAAUUCUUUAAAACGAAGGCAAUGUUCGAUGUUUGGCAAUUCGGGGAAUCGUGCCCUAUCGUGCUGAUUGCAAUAUCUCGUUUGUCCAAAAUAAUCGAAUAUUCCUUUGGAAUUUCACUCAUGUCUUUAAAAAUUCUUCAAAACGAAGGAAAUGUUCGAUGUUUAGCAAUUCGGAGAAUCGUGCCCUAUCGUGCUGGGUUGCAAUUUCUCGUUUGCUCAAAAUAAUCAAAUAUUCCUUUAGAAUUUCACUCAUGUUUUCUAAAUUCUAAAACAAGGCAAUGUUCAAUAUUUGGAAAUUCAGGGAAUCGUGCCCUACCGUGCUGGGUUUCGAUUUUUCGUUGGACUAAAUAAUUGGGCAUCCUUUUGUAAUUUUCAACGUAUAAACUUUCGGAAGUCAAAGUUUAUCGUUGUUUUUGAGGGUAUAAAGGAUCGUGUCCUAUCGUGUUGGAUGUGAUGCUGCAUUCCUCUGAAACAAGAGAAUUUUGACAACCAACUUGAGCCAUUCAAAUGCUUCAAAAGGAACCAUAUUUCAAAAACAGCUUUAAAACUUAGACAUAAGGACAACACUUAAUCAAUUUGGUACCAAUUUUGGGCGUAGUGAGGGUGCUAAUCCUUCCUCAUAUGUAACCAACUCCUGAACCUGUUUUCUCAAAUUUACGUAGGCCAAAAUCGAUUUAAAUAAAACAAAGUGUUUUAUUGGGUGACCCAAUCACACCUAAAUAAAAGAUUGGUGGCGACUCCACAUUUUUGUUUUUUAAAGUCAAUCCCCACUAUUUUUUAACUUUAAAAAAAAUAGUUUCGACAGCUUGGCGACUCCACUGGGGAACAAGAGAGUCUAGCCAUAAAAUUGAUUAUUUGUUCUCCUUUUGUUGAAGUAUCGAAAAUUUGUUUUAUCAUGAUUGUAUUUGUUUGUAUGAUUGUUAUGGUUCGGGCUUUUAGAAUAAUACUGCAUUUCAUUGCAUGAUCGCUGUGGUCUCACCUUCUAAGUGGGAGUAAGAAACUAUGCUUUCGUGAGGUUUUCACCUCCGCAUGAGCUAGUGGAUUGCUUCCGGGAUACAUCCGUACUUAUGAUUUCGUGAGAUUUUCAUCUCCGUAUGGUCAUAGGGAAAUGUAUUUCUCUGAAUCGAACUCGAUCUAUAUGAGCCUAUAAUGGGUGAGGAUUGAGGAAUCUGCUAGUUUAGGUACCUUAUCUCUAGAACCGAACCACAUAUAGCGAGCCUUAAGAGCUAUCCUUGGGUGGAGCCACAUCAAGCCUUAGUAUUUGCCCAUAUAUGUGUUAUAAUUAUCUUUCCUGUGCUUGUAUUUUAUCGCUUGUAUUUGAUACUAACUUGUGUUUUGUUUUGAUUGUGUUUUGCAUGACAUUGCAUACUAAAGGAGGUGUUGAUUCGUAUUCGAUUACUAAGUUAGAAAGUUUGACAUGGAGAAUGAAUUUCUUAAUAAAGUUGAGGAUAACACAGCUGUUCGCGCAUGGUCA
Molecule: long non-coding RNA, 3441 nt
Filed under: Gossypium barbadense (sea-island cotton)
Lineage: Eukaryota; Viridiplantae; Streptophyta; Magnoliopsida; Malvales; Malvaceae
Description: long non-coding RNA (GBAR_LNC004083)
Source: RNAcentral